Molecule: long non-coding RNA, 742 nt
Filed under: Salmo salar (Atlantic salmon)
Lineage: Eukaryota; Metazoa; Chordata; Actinopteri; Salmoniformes; Salmonidae
Description: lncRNA (ENSSSAG00000119190.1)
Source: RNAcentral
UCUCUCUCCAAGCUCUCUCCGCUACACCACCAAUACUUUUUUCCCUGGCUGUGGUGUGUUUGUGCUUUAGCGAGUGUACAACGAAACCAGUUCUGUGCUGAUCCAGCGUGUGCUAUCCCAUACACAGAGCCAGGAGCAGCGUACCGCUUGCCAACAUCCUGCUUCCACUCUGCUGCCUUUUCUGCUUUCAUUUCCCACUGUCUGCUUUUCCACCAGACCUUUUCUUUCUUUAACCCUCUGCUCUCUUCCAAGAAUGAUCUAGGAAGAGGGGAAAGAAAUAAGAGAAAGGUGUCUGUGUGAAGGGGAGAUGAGGAGACAGAAAAGGAGAGAGAGAGGGGAGAGGACUAGAGAGAAGACUGGGGUUAGGCUGCAACACGAGAGGCAAAGCAACGAGGAGAGGGAGAAAGAAGAGAGCAACAAGGAUCGAGGGAUGAUCGAGGUGGAAUCGGGCAAAAACGCAGGAAAAGGGGGGAAAAAAUUGCCAGACUCAUCCGACCUCUGCUGGGUUUUCAGCGUUGCUUGUCUUUCCUCUUGUUUUUAAAAAGUGUCUCUGUCCAUGUGUGUACUUUAGAACCCUUUCCUUCCUCCCGCUCCCAUCGGAAGGUUUUCCUCCGUCCUUCCACGUUUCUCUCUCGCCCAAAUGAAAUGCAAUGAUUGCUUUUUUUUAUUGUAAAUUUGGAUAUUUUCGCUUGGAUUUUCCCAUUGAAACCUAUGUUGGAAAAGGUGAAACCUGAAAUUGGGG